This is a non-coding RNA of Salmo salar (Atlantic salmon), 58 nucleotides long. The record is from Rfam. NCBI's taxonomy places the organism in Eukaryota, Metazoa, Chordata, Actinopteri, Salmoniformes, Salmonidae.
UAGCUCCGUUGGUAGAGCAUGGUGUUUGCAACGCCAGGGUUGUGGGUUCAAUUCCCAC